GACCGCUAUUUUUAGCUGAGGCCACACGGACAGCCGGGUCGAAUGCCGA
Molecule: small RNA, 49 nt
Filed under: human gut metagenome
Description: Streptococcus sRNA SpF59 (ldcC RNA)
Rfam family: Streptococcus sRNA SpF59 (ldcC RNA)
Source: RNAcentral